GCCGGGUGCAGUGGCUCCCGCCUGUAAUCUCAGUAUUUUGGGAGGCUGGGGAGAGCAGAUCAUUUGAGGUCAGGAGUUUGAAACCAGCCUGCCCUACAUGGUGAAACCUCGUCUCUACUAAAAAUACAAAAAUUAGCUGGGCGUGGGACUACAGGCGCCCACUACCACGCCCAGCUAAUUUUUUUGUGUUUUUAGUAGAGACGGGGUUUCGCCAUGUUGGUCAGGCUGGUUUCGCGCUCCUGACCUCAGAUGAUCCACCUGCCUU
RNAcentral lists this signal recognition particle RNA (265 nucleotides) under Gorilla gorilla gorilla (western lowland gorilla). RNAcentral describes it as "Metazoan signal recognition particle RNA". It matches the Rfam family "Metazoan signal recognition particle RNA". Rfam says of the family: The signal recognition particle (SRP) is a universally conserved ribonucleoprotein. It is involved in the co-translational targeting of proteins to membranes. The eukaryotic SRP consists of a 300-nucleotide 7S RNA and six proteins: SRPs 72, 68, 54, 19, 14, and 9. The record is from Rfam by way of RNAcentral. Lineage: Eukaryota; Metazoa; Chordata; Mammalia; Primates; Hominidae.